Molecule: ribosomal RNA, 1204 nt
Filed under: uncultured bacterium
Lineage: Bacteria
Description: bacterial SSU rRNA
Rfam family: Bacterial small subunit ribosomal RNA
Source: RNAcentral
CAUGGUGACCGUAUUAAAAGUGCCUCAUAGCACUGUUAGAGGAUGGACUUAUGGCGCAUUAGCUGGUUGGCGGGGUAACGGCCCACCAAGGCGACGAUGAGUAGCUGACAUGAGAGGGUGACCGACCACACUGGGAAUGAGACACGGCCCAGACUCCUACGGGAGGCAGCAGUAGGUAAUUUUCGACAAUGGGGGAAACCAUGACCGAGCAACGCCGCGUGAAGGAAGAAGGUUUUCGGAUUGUAAACUUCUGUUAUAAAGGAAGAACGGCGGCUACAGGAAAUGGUAGCCGAGUGAUGGUACUUUAUGAGAAACCCACGACUAACUACGCACCAGCAGCCGUGGUAAUAAGUAGGCGGCAAGCGUUAUCAGGAAUUAUUGGGAGUAAAGAGGGAGCAGGCGGCAGCAAUGGUAUGUGGUGAAAGCGUGAAGAUUAACUUCAGUAAGCCAUAGAAACCAGGCAGCUAGAGUGCAGGAGAGGAUCGUGGAAUUCCAUGUGUAGCGGUGAAAUGCGUAGAUAUAUGGAGGAACACCAGUGGCGAAGGGGACGAUCUGGCCUGCAACUGACGCUCAGUCCCGAAAGCGUGGGGAGCAAAUAGGAUUAGAUACCCUAGUAGUCCACGCCGUAAACGAUGAGUACUAAGUGUUGGAUGUCAAAGUUCAGUGCUGCAGUUAACGCAAUAAGUACUCCGCCUGAGUAGUACGUUCGCAAGAAUGAAACUCAAAGGAAUUGACGGGGGCCCGCACAAGCGGUGGAGCAUGUGGUUUAAUUCGAAGCAACGCGAAGAACCUUACCAGGUCUUGACAUACUCAUAAAGGCUCCAGAGAUGGAGAGAUAGCUAUAUGAGAUACAGGUGGUGCAUGGUUGUCGUCAGCUCGUGUCGUGAGAUGUUGGGUUAAGUCCCGCAACGAGCGCAACCCUUAUCGUUAGUUACCAUCAUUAAGUUGGGGACUCUAGCGAGACUGCCAGUGACAAGCUGGAGGAAGGCGGGGAUGACGUCAAAUCAUCAUGCCCCUUAUGACCUGGGCUACACACGUGCUACAAUGGAUGGUGCAGAGGGAAGCGAAGCCGCGAGGUGAAGCAAAACCCAUAAAACCAUUCUCAGUUCGGAUUGUAGUCUGCAACUCGAGUACAUGAAGUUGGAAUCGCUAGUAAUCGCGAAUCAGCAUGUCGCGGUGAAUCCGUUUUCGGCCCCUGCUCACA